GUGAAUCAUCGAAUCUUUGAACGCACAUUGCGCCUCCCGUAACAAGGAGGCAUGCCUGUCUGAGCGUCAUUUAAACCAAUAAGCCCAAAGGGGUUUGUUUUGGGCCUCGACGCAGUCGUCGUAGCCUUAAAGGCAUUGGUCUAGUGCGGACAAGAUCCAUUAGGACUGACCGUCGUGGACCCCGAUCAUCUGACUUGACCUCAGAUCAGGUAGGACUACCGCCUGAACUUAAGCAUAUCAAUAAGCGGAGGA
RNAcentral lists this unclassified non-coding RNA (252 nucleotides) under fungal sp. RNAcentral describes it as "partial contains 5.8S ribosomal RNA, internal transcribed spacer 2, and large subunit ribosomal RNA". The stretch from base 1 to 69 matches the Rfam family "5.8S ribosomal RNA", at positions 84 to 154 of the family's 154-position model. The record is from RNAcentral. Lineage: Eukaryota; Fungi.